UACGGGGGGAGCAAGCGUUGUUCGGAUUUACUGGGCGUAAAGGGCUCGUAGGCGGCCAACUAAGUCGGAUGUGAAAUCCCCAGGCUUAACCUGGGAACUGCAUCCGAUACUGGAUGGCUUGAAUCCGGGAGAGGGAUGCGGAAUUCCAGGUGUAGCGGUGAAAUGCGUAGAUAUCUGGAGGAACACCGGUGGCGAAGGCGGCAUCCUGGACCGGCAUUGACGCUGAGGAGCGAAAGCCAGGGGAGCAAACGGG
This 253-nucleotide ribosomal RNA is filed under the name uncultured bacterium. Its description in RNAcentral is "partial 16S ribosomal RNA". It matches the Rfam family "Bacterial small subunit ribosomal RNA", at positions 524 to 776 of the family's 1533-position model. The record is from RNAcentral.